Paramormyrops kingsleyae is the source of this 3045-nucleotide non-coding RNA. NCBI's taxonomy places the organism in Eukaryota, Metazoa, Chordata, Actinopteri, Osteoglossiformes, Mormyridae. The record is from RefSeq and is a predicted model, not a curated record.
AUGGAGGAAGUGAUCGUGCGAUACCACUGGUCCAGAAUGAGAUAAUCUGGUGACCGCAGUUUUCCCACAGUCACCCCUCUCGUGCUCGCAAGGAGCCGCCUAAGAGUGAAAAGUGCGGGCGAUGGUGUCCUCGUGUUCACAGCAUCCACAGGGCUGCGUGCAUUAGCCUAAGGUGGGAGGUACGUAGCAUGUGACAUGGAAAACCUCAAGCUUUGGAGUUUGUUCUGGAUUAUUAUGAUUGAUGGGUGAAGUUGGAGAGGGUGGCCCAGAUGAGAUGGGAUAGCACCAUGGACAGGUCUUUCUCCACAGUCCUGGAAUGGAUUUAUCCUGGCAAUGCUGAGAUGGUGUCGUAAAAUUCCACCAUUUCCACGAUGCCCCAGGACCGAGAUGUCUGCUGGAGCGUCGCAUCACCUAACUUCUCUGGGUGGUCUCCCGGCCCGGUUCAAGGGCGUGCUGCACGCGGAGCAGUGUGAGCGAGAAUGCCGACAGAUGCAUGCGAAUUUAGGACUCGCCAGUUCAUCUCUGAUGAUGGUGUAUGCGUGAUUAUGAACCCAGCGAGUAGGAAAACAGCUCAUCGGGAGAGAAUGGAGAGUGACACGCUGGAUCAGAUUCCCCCCGAUGAAACUUAAUGAAGACAGAGUGCCACUAACACAGAGAACAAAUGUUACUGUGUGGAAAUGAGACGUAUCCUCGAGUGGUCUCUUCGCACGACGAUUGGUAGCAUCGCCUGGUCACUGAAUCUGAAGUGCUGAGACUUUGCUAAACCCAGAGGUAGGCAGCAUAUUAGCGCUGUAGGUUCACAUGCCCAAGGUUGUGAGUUUGAGUCUCUCCCCUAUCUCUGUGUGACUGGGGUUGUAUCUCUACACGUUUCUGUGGGUCUCAUCUCACUUAACAAAGACAGCUAGGUAAACUGGUGACUAUAAUUUGUUCUUAUGGUUUGACUAGGUAUGAGAGUCUGUGCCCUGCGAUGGACUGACAUCCCAUCCUAGGUAUUCUUCUGCCUUGUGCACUGGGCAGGGGUGGAUACAGGGGGCGGGGUCACAGAGACACUGGGCCCAACUGAAAGCUGAUUGGCCCCCAGAGUACCCACUCCCUGUCACUCACAAAUUCAAAACAUAUCAAUAGCUAAUCCCCUCUUGUUAAUUAUGGUCCCUCCUAUGCCCCCCCACCUUAAAAAAAAUCCUAGAAUCACCCCCGGCUCUGUAGUUCCUGGUAUAGGCUCUAGGCUGAGAGUGACCCUGUACUGGAAAAGGGAUUGGAAGGUAGAUGAACUCAGGGGUCACAAAACUGGAAUAAAUGAGUAAAAUGAAUAACAACAGCUGCAGCUCUGAAAAUCAAUUUAUCAGUUUGAAUAGUUUUAAAAAACAAAGCACAAAGUUAGAGUACAGACAUUUAUUGGUGUGGGAAGACUGUAAAAUGUAAGCAUGCGCGUUGACAUUGACGAGCAUCAGCACGUCAUUGGGAUCCUACAAGCGUCUGCUGUAUGGCGAGGUCAGCUGCCGUGUUUCUGUCUCUGUCUGUGUUUUUUCCAGAGUGUCCAGGCACGAAACUGUACUCCAUGCUGAGGUAAUGUGGGAGGAAACCACCCAGGCAUGGCAGCCGCAUCACUGGAAGCUGAGCAAACCCAUAACGUGGUAUCCUGUGACACAAUCCAGUGGCGGAGUCCCCCGGAGAAGCCCCCCCCCGCCGACGCCUGAUUGGCUUCUCCGCACCCUCAUGCAGAUGCUUCAGUUCUGACUCGUGCUUUCUGAGUGGCGACUGCACGGUGGGAGGUGAGUGGGGGUCCGUGUGACUGGAGCACAUCUCCGUGGGCGCGGCCCUCAGCUCCUCUGGGAAGGGUCUUCUCGCUCUGGACGGGGCGUGGACCAGACCUGGGCCCCUGUCCCAGAGAAAACACUGUCUCACCCCAGACUGUUCGUAUCUCGUAAUGAUUUGUUAGCAACAGCGUGACUAAUAAGGGGAUUUUAUCUCCACUACAUGGACACCACUAACCUUGCUGCAAUAUACAACAGAAUAUUCCUGACUGUUCUCAGACACUGUAAUUAUAUUUAUCGAAUAAUUAGACAUUUUGAGUUAGAUAUAAACACACUGGCUCCAUGAAAUCAAAUAAUGGAUAAAGAUUUGAUCUCAAGCUAGUUUCUGGCCUGUAAACACCUUAAUUCAUAUUGUAAACAUAUUAAUUCUAUUCAGUUACCCCUGAAAAAUAUGCUAUCAGGAAUUUGUGUUAAUGGCAUUUCAUGACAAUUAUAUAUAAAUAUCUCUUAUAAACAUGGAAUUUGACUUUGGAAAGAAUGUCCUGUGUUUGUUUUCAUGAACUCGUGGUAAGACUCUAACUUUGAGCCUGUUUGAUCGAAAUGCCACUUAUGAAUGUGUCUUUGCCGUUAAGAAACAAAUCACGUUCUCAAACCCUGCUUACUGUACAGCUUUGUUUGAUAAUUGGACAAAAUAUGAACUGUUAUUGUUGGGUUGCUAUACUGAUAUGCCAUUAUUCAUGGGAAGUGUGGCUGACUUUUCUUUCUGUUUUCAGAUAAAAAGGUAUUUGUUGUUUUCCAAGCAAUGCUGAACGCAUAUUACUAAUUAAACGUGGAUUUUCUGGAGUCUUCUCAUUCUUUUGGGCUUUGUACUAUUCUCAGGAGAGAAAUAUUCCCUUGGUCUUUUUCUGUGUAAGCAGCAACAACAUACUUUAUUAAGAGUUAUUCAUGAUCCCUCCUUGAAAUUUAAUUUUUUUCACUCAGUGUUUAAUUAUUCGGUCACGGUUUUGUGUUUGGUGCUUGUUAUUGGGUCAGUCUUUACCCUCAAUAAAGGUGAGGAAAGCUAUUACUUAUUAUCCAAUUAUAGCAUUGUCUGACACGGCCUUGAAUUGAGAUACUGCCACCAUAGUCGCCGUUAACUUCAAAAGGGCAGCAAAACCAGGCUGCAAAUUCAGGAAAUGCGGGUUCAAUACACCACAUGCAUUGGCAUGGUAUGUGCAUCUUGCUCACGGGAGUUUUACUUAAACAAAAAUGUUCUGAGGGCAGAACAAAAAAAAUGACUGGUUCAGAGAGA